UGCAUGCCAUUCACUUUCAGCAACAUAUGUAAAGGCAAAGGACUACCUGAAAAAGUCCUUACUGUGUUUAACAUCAGACAUACAGUCAGAGGCUGAAGACCCUAUCAGAAGGAAAAAAAGGCCAAACUCACGCUACCUGCAGGAGCCAGCUGGAAGAGUCCAGACCACUACGGGCCCGCCGCAACACUUUUUUGAAGGUGUGGACACUGAUGACGAGGCACCACCCCCCCCAAGAAAAACAGCACGACAAUCUGUAGAUGUUGGGCCAGGUAGGUAAAAAUAUGUUGCAUGUGUUUACUGGUUAAUGCCAGUACAAAUGGUACUUUGAAGCACCAUUUGAAACAACACCAUGUUUAACACAUAUGUUAGAAAUACCAUUUGGCUCUCUUAUUCAGUUUUGAAGUGUUUCAUUUUUUUCAGACAUCAAUAGUGAGUGGCUAUUUGGGCCAUCGACCACCCAAAGAGCUCAAUCAAAUGGCAGCCAGAGACUUGAGCUACUACAUCUAGAUACAGUCCAACCAAGCCACCAGCUAUUGCAUGAUAUGGGAAUAUCUAAAGUCGUGGAGCUGCUUUCCAAAGUGCUGGAAGAAAAUAAAUUGAUGAAAGCGGAAAUUACCAACCUGGGGAGUGAAGUGAGGGCGCUUAGGAGAGAGAUGGUGAGGCCGGUAGCACCAGAAGCUGCCGCUUCGUCCAUCAAGCUGCCUCUGAGGACAAUGGAGGAGUUUCAAUUAGCAGAGGCUGUUAUGAGAGAAACCCCCUGCGAAAAACAAAAGAUGAUCUUAACAUUCAGUCUAAUUGGAGGGCACACUGCAGAAGAGGCCGUAAGAAGGAUGUUGCAGAGUGGCCUAACAAAUAACCUGGCGUGUCGCUUCAACUGGGCAGGGAAAGGCUUCAAGGAAGCCUUUAAAAGCACUGUCCUUAGUGAUGUACUGUUCGCUGCACUCCAAAAACAGCUGCCAGGGACCACCCAUAUUGUUUUUUCAGGGACACUGAAGAAGUGGCUUAAAUAUGCACCGGAGAGAGAGGGAGGUGGAGGGAGGCGAACAAAUGAACGCGAUCAGGCGCCGCAGGAUCCUCGACCAUGAAUGAAUGUGUGUGUGUAAAUAAUAAUUAUAUUCGUUAGAAUAAUAGGGUUAAUUGGGUUUGGGUUGUUCGUGUUCGGUUAUCACGUUGUAUUGUUCAUUAUUGUCGCCACCGUUGUUGUGUCAUGUUUGUUUGUUGGGUGCUCUAUGUGAGAGGAUUUUAAUAAAAGUAGUCUGCGUCGAGGGGUGUACGGUGCGCAGAACUACAGUUAAA
This is a long non-coding RNA of Gadus morhua (Atlantic cod), 1296 nucleotides long. RefSeq lists it as uncharacterized. NCBI's taxonomy places the organism in Eukaryota, Metazoa, Chordata, Actinopteri, Gadiformes, Gadidae. The record is from RefSeq and is a predicted model, not a curated record. The transcript is spliced from 9 exons.